This 322-nucleotide ribosomal RNA is filed under the name uncultured eukaryote. RNAcentral describes it as "partial 18S ribosomal RNA". It matches the Rfam family "Eukaryotic small subunit ribosomal RNA", at positions 1470 to 1796 of the family's 1831-position model. The record is from RNAcentral.
CCCUUAGAUGUUCUGGGCCGCACGCGUGCUACACUGAGUGGAUCAGCGGGUCAGGUUGCGCGAAAGUGUUUCCUAAUCUUGAAAUCCGCUCGUGAUGGGGAUUGACGGUUGCAAUUUUCCGUCAUGAACGAGGAAUACCUUGUAAGCGCGGGUCAUCAUCCCGCGCUGAAUACGUCCCUGCCCUUUGUACACACCGCCCGUCGCUCCUACCGAUUGAGUGGUCCGGUGAGGCUUUGGGAUCUGAGCGGAAAGAGCGUUUCGCUGUUUCUGCUCGGAAAACUCAGUCGAACCUUAUCAUUUAGAGGAAGGUGAAGUCGUAACA